ACCACAGGACUACCACUUCACAAUCACAGAGUACCACAGGACAUUUUUGUAAGGGAAUUGCACUGUAAGCCUCAACAUGCCAUUGCUUUUUAAACUACAUUAUUUUAUAUGGAGCCACUUAGCCAAAGACUUGUCAUCUUUUUGACAGCACAGCCAAUCAGAUUCAGAUAAUUCAGCAUGGUGGAAUGGGGAAAAAAAAUCACCAGCCCAGGGAAAACCUCUCAAACCCAGCCCCAGGCCAAUGUCCUUUGCGGAGUGGCCUUCCGCAGAUAACAAAAAAAACUGCUGCUGCAUCUUCGACAGUCUAGCAAGCAACCCAAGCAAUUCAGCAUAUGAAACAAAAAAAACAAGCAUAUCCCUUUCUCUGUCCUCCAUUACCUACAAGGCAGGUCAACUUGUCUAGCAUGUUAUCUGAUGUAUAUUACCUUUGAUAUUGUAGAAAAUCAAACAAGUGGACAUUUGAAAAACCAUAUUACCAUAGCAUUGACAAGAGAGGCCAGAGGACUCGGUGGUUGAUUUUAGAUCUGUACCUUAUGCAGAUACAAAGCUAUUUAAAAGUAUGCCUAUAAGCACAACACUUGAUUCAGCUAAUCAGCUAUUAAUCAAAGCCUUUGGUUGGUUGAAUCAAGUGUUAAUGCUGGGAUGGAACAAUAGCCUACUGCAUAGCCAGUGGGUCCAGGGUCCUUAGGACCAGGCUUGAAGUUGGAGCUCCAUUGAUUUAACUUGGAGCUCCACCGAUAGGAACUAGUGUAGUAUUACAACUUCUUGUUACCUUGCCGUUUCCCCCAUCUUUCUGUAUAUUCCUACAUUAUGGCCUUGUUUAAGAGCAUCAAAUCUGUAAUGUAUUGUUGACCAGUUUCCCAGAUUAUGGCUGUGUUUGUGAGCAUCAAAUCUGUGAUGUAUUGUUGAACUGUUUCCCAGAUUAUGCCUGUGUUUGAGAGCAUCAAAUCUUGUUAUGUAUUGUUGAACAGUUUCCCAGAUUAUGGGUGUGUUUGAGAGCAUCAAAUCUGUUAUAUGUAUUGUUGAACAGCUUCACUGAUCACAGACUGUAGCUUUAAUGACACACUACACUGAAUCAUUUCAGAAAGUAUCAAACAAAUCAAUCAUUGGUGUCAACGUACUUUAUUGCCAAAAGCUAAAAAUAUACAUUUCUGCUCGUUUCAACAAAUAACAGUCACUAUAUUCUCCUGUCUUACUCUUAGAUGACAUGCUAAGGAAACAAGGUAACAAAUUAAAGCAUGUCACGUACAUAGGCAAACUUUCACAUAUGCACAAAUACUCAGACAUCACUAGUUAAGAUUUUAUUUGCACAUGAAAAAUUCCACCUGCAAAUAAAAAUGAUAAAAGGUAGUGCACGAUAACAGUGGAACUUUUACCACGCCAGCAUUCAAACUACGAAAUUACGUUGAUCGAUCAGUGAAGGGCACUCUCUGCGAUUUUACACUACAUGGGGUGUAUUCAUAAGUGCACACCAUAGUUAAAUGUUUUGCAAUGAAAACUAGUUUGUUAUCGGACAAGUUCAGGUAGUCCUUUCCCGUUUCGGUCCGUUCUCUUCUGUUUGGUGUCUAUUGAAUACACUCCAGACGACACCACUGUAGUCGGUGAUUCCCUGAUGAAGAUACGGACCACAGAUAGCCAGUAGAACACAGGAGGUUGGUGGCACCUUAAUUGGGGAGGACGGGCUCGUGGUAAUGGAUGGACUGGAAUCAGUGGAAUGGUAUCAAAUACAUGGUUUCCAUGGUUUCCGUUCCAGCCAUUCUUAUGAGCCAUCCUCCCCUCAGCAGCCUCCACUGAAGUAGAACAUAGAACAUUUACAACUGAUGUGUCAUUGUCUACCUUCACCCAGAUUCCAGCCAGUCCACAGUCCUAUUAUGCAUCUCUACAUGUCUCAGUAUCAAUCCAUUUUGAGUUCCAGUUCUAUUACGUCAAAUAUGUCUCGCACAAUGGAGGCUGGUGGGAGGAGCUAUAGGACAGGCUCAUUGUAAUGGCUGGAAUGGAAUAAAUGAAGGUAUCAAACAUA
Coregonus clupeaformis (lake whitefish) is the source of this 2020-nucleotide long non-coding RNA. RefSeq lists it as uncharacterized. The record is from RefSeq and is a predicted model, not a curated record. NCBI's taxonomy places the organism in Eukaryota, Metazoa, Chordata, Actinopteri, Salmoniformes, Salmonidae. The transcript has 3 exons.